UAGGGAAUCUUCGGCAAUGGGGGGAACCCUGACCGAGCAACGCCGCGUGAGUGAAGAAGGUUUUCGGAUCGUAAAGCUCUGUUGUUAAGGAAGAACGAGUGUGAGAAUGGAAAGUUCAUGCUGUGACGGUACUUAACCAGAAAGGGACGGCUAACUACGUGCCAGCAGCCGCGGUAAUACGUAGGUCCCGAGCGUUGUCCGGAUUUAUUGGGCGUAAAGCGAGCGCAGGCGGUUAGGAAAGUCUGAAGUGAAAGGCAGUGGCUCAACCAUUGUAGGCUUUGGAAACUGUUUAACUUGAGUGCAGAAGGGGAGAGGGGAAUUCCAUGUGUAGCGGUGAAAUGCGUAGAGAUAUGGAGGAACACCGGGGGCGAAAGCGGCUCUCUAGUCUGUAACUGACGCUGAGGCUCGAAAGCGUGGGGAGCGAACAGG
This 429-nucleotide ribosomal RNA is filed under the name Verrucomicrobiota bacterium. Its description in RNAcentral is "Verrucomicrobia bacterium partial 16S ribosomal RNA". It matches the Rfam family "Bacterial small subunit ribosomal RNA", at positions 355 to 776 of the family's 1533-position model. Lineage: Bacteria; Pseudomonadati; Verrucomicrobiota. The record is from RNAcentral.